AUCACUGUGACUUACAACCCUUCUCUAGUCUGCUACAAUGGAAUCUUAAACAAGAAAAUUUUAUAUUUUGACUUGCAUCAUUGAGAAAAACACUGCCAACCUGAUCGUGGUUCCUUUGAAGAAUCACUGCAGCAGGUGCGAGAGAGGACUCAUGGAGCUUGCAGAUGAGCUAGCCCAGAUGCAAUUCCAGGAAUGCCAGGAAGCAAACCAAUUCCACCCCAAGAUACAAACAAAGAACAGCACCCUCUCAAAUGAUGCUGCAUGAUAAGUGGCCACAGAGAGCACCGCUGUAAUCAGUCAGAAAGGCAGGUGAGCUAUUAGCUUACCCAGGAAUGUCCUACCUAAUGUAGAAUCAAUGGUGAUGGUUAACAGACCCUGGCUAUGGUGACAGGCCUGGGACCUGAUUGAGGAAAUCCAAAUGAAAAACAGCCAAGAGGAACAACAAGCUAGAAAAAGAUGUUCCAGGCCGGGUGCAGUGGCUCACGCCUGUAAUCCCAACACUUUGGGAGGCCAAGGCAGGCAGAUUGCUUGAGCUCAGGAGUUCAAGACCAGCCUGGGCAACAUGGUGAAACCCUGUCUCUACAAAAAAUACAAAAAUUAGCCGGACAUGGUGGCAUCCUAGCUGCUAGGGAAGUUGAGAUGGAAGGAUGGCCCAGGAGGUGGCGGUUACAGUAUGCCGAGAUUGCACCCCACUGCACUCCUGCUUGGGCAACAGAGUUAGACCCUAUGUACAAAAAAAAAAAAAAAAAAAAAGAACGAAAGAAAAAAAAAGAAAAGAAACAUGUUCUAGCUAAGAGGAGGUGCAUGCAUUUCACCUGAAUAUGUAGUUGGGAUGGGAUGAGAGCAUUCAUUUCUAAAUAUGUAAAUUUUACCUCUUCCUCCAUAUAGAUAUUGUUAAGUUCAAUUGUAGCCAUCCACAUUAGUUUUGUCAAAUUUUCAGCAAUUUCUUAAAAAUAAGAUUUCAAAAUGAUAACAGAUAUUAAGGGAAUUCAGGGCAUUUGACUUAUCUACCCAGUUUUCCUAAAACAUUCCAGUUAAAUAAUCUGUUCUUCAACUUCAGUCUCAUAGCAAUUAAAAAGUAUCUUAAAAAUUGCCCACUCCUCAAAAGAAAUACAUUUCAUAAGGCUGUAGUUGACAUAGAUAGUGAUUCCUUGGAUGGAUAUGGGCAAAGUAAAUUGAAAGCCUUCUGGAAAGGAUUUGCCAUUCUAGAUGCCAUUAAGAACAUUUGCAAAUCAUAGGAGGAGGUCAAAAUGACAACAUUAAUGGGAGUUUGGAAGAAAUUGAGUCCAACCCUCACGGAUAAAUUUGAGUGGUUCAAGACUUCAGUGGAGGAAGUAACUGCAGAUGUGGUACAAAUAGCAAGAGAAUCAGAAUUAGAACUGGAGCCCGAAGAUGUGACUGAAUUGCUGCAAUCUUAUGAUCAAACUUGGAUGGAUGAGGAGUUGCUUCUUAUGGAUGAGCAAAGAGUUUUUUUUUUUUUUUGAGAUAGAAUCCACACCUGGUGAAGAUGGCGUGAACAUUGUUGAAAUGACAACAAAGGAUUUCAAAUAUUACAUAAACUUAGUUGAUAAAGUAGAGCAGGAUUUGAGAGAACUGACUUCAAUUUUGAAGGAAGUUCUACUGUGGGUAAAAUGCUAUCAAACAGCAUCGUAUGCUACAGAGAAAUCUUUUGUGAAUCGAAGAGUCAAUUGAUGCAGAAAACUUUGUUGUCUUCUUUUUUUUUGAGAGACAGGGGUCUCUCUGUGUUGCCCAGGCCAGAGUGCAGUGGCUUUCACGUAUGCUAUCAUAGUGCACUACAGCCUCCACCUCCUGUGCUUGUGUUAUCCUCCUGCCUCAGCCUCCUGAGCAGAUGGGACUCUACAGGCCUGCGUCACCAUGCCCAACUACAUUGCUUUCUUAUUUUAAGAAAUUGCCAUGGCCACACUAACCUUUGGGAACCACCACCCUGAUUAGUCAG
RNAcentral lists this long non-coding RNA (1957 nucleotides) under Homo sapiens (human). RNAcentral describes it as "non-protein coding lnc-CCDC184-1:2". The record is from RNAcentral. Lineage: Eukaryota; Metazoa; Chordata; Mammalia; Primates; Hominidae.